UGAAAGACAAAACUUAUAGCUGAAACUAGUCAAUUCAUGCUGUUUAUAGUCUUUGUAAUCAUUCAUCCUAAAGUUGUUCUCAAUUUCCUAGAGUCAGUAGUCACAUGCUGUCCUAUGGCAAUGGAUGGCCACAUUUUGGCUGCACAGGCAGUAGAAGUGGGAACAGUGGAAGAGGACUGAGGUGGAUCACCUGGUUGGUGCAGAGGUGAACCCAAGAUGUGGACCAGCCUAUGAUUUACAGCUUCUAAGAAAACUAAUGGUAGCACAUGAUGUGCCCCCAGUGCUACCAUUCCUGUGCAUAAAUGCACGAGAAGUAAGUGUGUGAAGGUUUGUAGGGAUGAUUUUAGAUAAGAGUUGCAUACAAAGUCUCUUCAGGUUAUGAUGGACAAGUCACAGUUGGCCUAGUCAUAAGCAUGUGAAACUUCAGAUUGUGUUGCAGUCAGGUUCAUGACCUUGCUAUAUGUCAGGGGGUUUUGUGUUUGAAUGAAAUACAUUCUUUCUCAAAGUGCCUAUUUCCAGCCUGCACCAUUAAUGACAACCAGAAAACUUGCAGGGAAACCUAAUCAAAUGCUGGGGAUUAACCUCUUAGGAGCCAACAGCUAUACAUGACCUUGUUUCUUGAGCUAACCGCCUCCCGGUUAGCUCAAUUGGUUAGAGCGCUGGACUGUUGUGCGGGAGGUCGAGGUCG
Long non-coding RNA from Stylophora pistillata, 688 nucleotides. Lineage: Eukaryota; Metazoa; Cnidaria; Anthozoa; Scleractinia; Pocilloporidae. The record is from RefSeq and is a predicted model, not a curated record.